GAGUAAUGUCUGGGAAACUGCCUGAUGGAGGGGGAUAACUACUGGAAACGGUAGCUAAUACCGCAUAACGUCGCAAGACCAAAGAGGGGGACCUUCGGGCCUCUUGCCAUCAGAUGUGCCCAGAUGGGAUUAGCUAGUAGGUGGGGUAACGGCUCACCUAGGCGACGAUCCCUAGCUGGUCUGAGAGGAUGACCAGCCACACUGGAACUGAGACACGGUCCAGACUCCUACGGGAGGCAGCAGUGGGGAAUAUUGCACAAUGGGCGCAAGCCUGAUGCAGCCAUGCCGCGUGUAUGAAGAAGGCCUUCGGGUUGUAAAGUACUUUCAGCGAGGAGGAAGGUGUUGAGGUUAAUAACCACAGCAAUUGACGUUACCCGCAGAAGAAGCACCGGCUAACUCCGUGCCAGCAGCCGCGGUAAUACGGAGGGUGCAAGCGUUAAUCGGAAUUACUGGGCGUAAAGCGCACGCAGGCGGUCUGUCAAGUCGGAUGUGAAAUCCCCGGGCUCAACCUGGGAACUGCAUUCGAAACUGGCAGGCUAGAGUCUUGUAGAGGGGGGUAGAAUUCCAGGUGUAGCGGUGAAAUGCGUAGAGAUCUGGAGGAAUACCGGUGGCGAAGGCGGCCCCCUGGACAAAGACUGACGCUCAGGUGCGA
RNAcentral lists this ribosomal RNA (652 nucleotides) under uncultured bacterium. RNAcentral describes it as "bacterial SSU rRNA". It matches the Rfam family "Bacterial small subunit ribosomal RNA", at positions 108 to 756 of the family's 1533-position model. The record is from RNAcentral.